This 2420-nucleotide ribosomal RNA is filed under the name Escherichia coli. Its description in RNAcentral is "partial 23S ribosomal RNA". It matches the Rfam family "Bacterial large subunit ribosomal RNA", at positions 399 to 2802 of the family's 2925-position model. Lineage: Bacteria; Pseudomonadati; Pseudomonadota; Gammaproteobacteria; Enterobacterales; Enterobacteriaceae. The record is from RNAcentral.
GUGAGCUCGAUGAGUAGGGCGGGACACGUGGUAUCCUGUCUGAAUAUGGGGGGACCAUCCUCCAAGGCUAAAUACUCCUGACUGACCGAUAGUGAACCAGUACCGUGAGGGAAAGGCGAAAAGAACCCCGGCGAGGGGAGUGAAAAAGAACCUGAAACCGUGUACGUACAAGCAGUGGGAGCCUCUUUUAUGGGGUGACUGCGUACCUUUUGUAUAAUGGGUCAGCGACUUAUAUUCUGUAGCAAGGUUAACCGAAUAGGGGAGCCGAAGGGAAACCGAGUCUUAACUGGGCGUUAAGUUGCAGGGUAUAGACCCGAAACCCGGUGAUCUAGCCAUGGGCAGGUUGAAGGUUGGGUAACACUAACUGGAGGACCGAACCGACUAAUGUUGAAAAAUUAGCGGAUGACUUGUGGCUGGGGGUGAAAGGCCAAUCAAACCGGGAGAUAGCUGGUUCUCCCCGAAAGCUAUUUAGGUAGCGCCUCGUGAAUUCAUCUCCGGGGGUAGAGCACUGUUUCGGCAAGGGGGUCAUCCCGACUUACCAACCCGAUGCAAACUGCGAAUACCGGAGAAUGUUAUCACGGGAGACACACGGCGGGUGCUAACGUCCGUCGUGAAGAGGGAAACAACCCAGACCGCCAGCUAAGGUCCCAAAGUCAUGGUUAAGUGGGAAACGAUGUGGGAAGGCCCAGACAGCCAGGAUGUUGGCUUAGAAGCAGCCAUCAUUUAAAGAAAGCGUAAUAGCUCACUGGUCGAGUCGGCCUGCGCGGAAGAUGUAACGGGGCUAAACCAUGCACCGAAGCUGCGGCAGCGACGCUUAUGCGUUGUUGGGUAGGGGAGCGUUCUGUAAGCCUGUGAAGGUGUACUGUGAGGUAUGCUGGAGGUAUCAGAAGUGCGAAUGCUGACAUAAGUAACGAUAAAGCGGGUGAAAAGCCCGCUCGCCGGAAGACCAAGGGUUCCUGUCCAACGUUAAUCGGGGCAGGGUGAGUCGACCCCUAAGGCGAGGCCGAAAGGCGUAGUCGAUGGGAAACAGGUUAAUAUUCCUGUACUUGGUGUUACUGCGAAGGGGGGACGGAGAAGGCUAUGUUGGCCGGGCGACGGUUGUCCCGGUUUAAGCGUGUAGGCUGGUUUUCCAGGCAAAUCCGGAAAAUCAAGGCUGAGGCGUGAUGACGAGGCACUACGGUGCUGAAGCAACAAAUGCCCUGCUUCCAGGAAAAGCCUCUAAGCAUCAGGUAACAUCAAAUCGUACCCCAAACCGACACAGGUGGUCAGGUAGAGAAUACCAAGGCGCUUGAGAGAACUCGGGUGAAGGAACUAGGCAAAAUGGUGCCGUAACUUCGGGAGAAGGCACGCUGAUAUGUAGGUGAAGCGACUUGCUCGUGGAGCUGAAAUCAGUCGAAGAUACCAGCUGGCUGCAACUGUUUAUUAAAAACACAGCACUGUGCAAACACGAAAGUGGACGUAUACGGUGUGACGCCUGCCCGGUGCCGGAAGGUUAAUUGAUGGGGUUAGCGGUAACGCGAAGCUCUUGAUCGAAGCCCCGGUAAACGGCGGCCGUAACUAUAACGGUCCUAAGGUAGCGAAAUUCCUUGUCGGGUAAGUUCCGACCUGCACGAAUGGCGUAAUGAUGGCCAGGCUGUCUCCACCCGAGACUCAGUGAAAUUGAACUCGCUGUGAAGAUGCAGUGUACCCGCGGCAAGACGGAAAGACCCCGUGAACCUUUACUAUAGCUUGACACUGAACAUUGAGCCUUGAUGUGUAGGAUAGGUGGGAGGCUUUGAAGUGUGGACGCCAGUCUGCAUGGAGCCGACCUUGAAAUACCACCCUUUAAUGUUUGAUGUUCUAACGUUGGCCCCUGAUCGGGGUUGCGGACAGUGUCUGGUGGGUAGUUUGACUGGGGCGGUCUCCUCCUAAAGAGUAACGGAGGAGCACGAAGGUUGGCUAAUCCUGGUCGGACAUCAGGAGGUUAGUGCAAUGGCAUAAGCCAGCUUGACUGCGAGCGUGACGGCGCGAGCAGGUGCGAAAGCAGGUCAUAGUGAUCCGGUGGUUCUGAAUGGAAGGGCCAUCGCUCAACGGAUAAAAGGUACUCCGGGGAUAACAGGCUGAUACCGCCCAAGAGUUCAUAUCGACGGCGGUGUUUGGCACCUCGAUGUCGGCUCAUCACAUCCUGGGGCUGAAGUAGGUCCCAAGGGUAUGGCUGUUCGCCAUUUAAAGUGGUACGCGAGCUGGGUUUAGAACGUCGUGAGACAGUUCGGUCCCUAUCUGCCGUGGGCGCUGGAGAACUGAGGGGGGCUGCUCCUAGUACGAGAGGACCGGAGUGGACGCAUCACUGGUGUUCGGGUUGUCAUGCCAAUGGCACUGCCCGGUAGCUAAAUGCGGAAGAGAUAAGUGCUGAAAGCAUCUAAGCACGAAACUUGCCCCGA